UUCAAAAAACUUUUGAGUUUCAUGAAGCAUUUGACAUGAUUGAACAACUGAGAAUCACGUUUCAAGUUCAGGCUAAGCAAAAGAGGUUUGAGACCUUGAAUGCUUUCUUUGGUUAAAAAAUGACGGAGGGAUCUUAUAUGAGUGCACAUUUACUCAAAGUAAAAGCUUAAACUAAGUAGCUUGCUUGCCUCAAAUUCCUAUUUGGGUAUGAGCUAACAACCAAUGUAAUCCUACCCUCAUUGCCAAAGUUAUUCAACCAAUUUGUGUUGAACUUCACUAUGAAUGACUAGCAUAGGAGAAUUAAUGAGCUUCAUUUAAUUCUCAAGAAUGUCGAGGAAAACGUCAAGAAAUCUGGGAAUCAAGUGUGAUUGAUCUGCAAGGGUCAAAUAUCGAACAACAAAACCAAAAAUGCUACCGGUAAAGGCAAAUGCAAAGCUACCAAGAAAGGUAAGGUCACAGGAAAGUGUCAAUGGAAGCCUCCUACUACCAACCCAACUUCAAAGCCCAAACCUGCUGUUGACUUUGACUAGUUUCACUACAAUGAAACGGGACACUGGAAACACAACUGUCCCAAGUACCUAUAGGAAGUUAUGAAAAACAAGGCCAACCAGGUUGGCACCUCAGGUAUAUAGGUACAUGAAUUAUAUGCAUACCAUACUAAUUAUUGGGUAUUCGAUACUGGAACUGGUACUAUCAUCUACGAUGAUUUGUAGGGAAUAAAGAAUGUUAGAGAACUCAGAAAUGGUGAUUUGGAACUCAAUCUGGACAAUGAAACUUGAGUAGCUGUCAAAUCUAUAGAACAAUAUCAUGUUUUGCUUCCAAAUGGUCUUAAUUGUUUUUUGAACAAUUAUUUAUAUGUACCUAGCAUAACUACGAAUAUUAUCUCUACUUUCCGUUUUUAUGAACAAGGUUUUUGUUAUACAUUUUACUUUUAUUCUAGAAACAUAUAUGUGUUUAAAGAUAAUGUGUUCUAUUUUGAGACUUGUCCCAAUAAUGGAAUAUAUAUGAAAUUGAUUUAAAUGGUUCAUACCAAAAGUACAAUUCAAUAUAUAACUUAACAAAUAAGAAAACAAAUUCAGAAUUUAAAAAAACUUAUUUAUGGCAUUGUCUCCUUUCACACAUAAACAAAACUCACAUUGCUAAGCUUUGAAAGGUUGGAAUCUUAGAAUCAACAAGCUUAGAGUCUUUGAAUGUAUGCGAAUCAUGUAUAUGUCGCAAGAUUACCAAGGCUACUUUUAGUGGUGUUGGUGAAAGAGCUUCGGAUCUAUUAGGACUCAUACAUACUGAUGUAUGUUGACCUUUUAGAAAAAUUACUAGAAACACUAAAGGAUAAUUCAUUACGUUUACUGAUGACUUUAAUAGAUUUGGAUAUAUGUAUCUUACGAAACAUAAACAUGAAGCAUACAAUGUAUUCAAGGUAUUCAAAAAUGAAAUACAAAAUCAAUUACGAAAAAGAAUAAAAGCAUAUGAUCAGAUCAUGGUGGUGAAUAUCUAAGCCAUGAGUUUGAUGAACAUAUUACUAAUUGUGGCAUAGUGUCAUAAAUCACUCCACUCGGAACCCCGCGUCUUGGAAAGCAGAAAUCGUACUCUAGUUGAUAUGAUAUGAUCAAUGACGAUUCAUAAUUCCCAUCCUAAUUUGUUUUGGAGUUAUGCCCUCGAUACCAGAGCUCGAAUUGUAGACAUGGUGCCAAGUGAAAAGGUUAUUAAGACUCCAUGCAAGUUAUGCAUGGAAAUGUUCCAUCAAUAUCUUACUUAAUGAUUUUGGGUUGUAAAGCAUAGGUUAAAAGAGAGACGUCUAACAAGCUUGACCCCAGAUCUCAAAAGUGUAUCUUUGUGCGAUACCCAAAAAAAACCAUGGGCCAUUAAUUCUUUCAUAAAGUGAAGGUUUGUAUCGAUCAGAUGCACUUCAAGUAGAGCAAACCACUGAUGUCUAAUUUUUGCUAGACCAACUUACCAAUCUAUUUCCAAGCAUUUUGGCUCCUCCUGAAGUGCUUUUAUGAUUAAUUCCACACCCGUCAUGAUCUGAUUCAGUGUAUCUCAGCAACUUGAACUAUGAGUCACGAGGAUACCAUAACCCAAGAUUGGGUGUAUGCUUUAAGUAUCGGAAAACCCUUUUGACAGCGUGAAGAUGAGAUUCCUGAGGACUGGCUUGAUAGCGAGCACACAAUAUGGUGGCAAACAUAAUGUCGGGGCGACUAGAUGUAUGAUAGAGUAGAGAACCUAUCAUUCCUCAAAACAAAGAUCCAUUCACAUCGGUGCCACUUGGAUCAAUGCCAAUAGACGCUGAUGAAGACAUCAAAGUGUUUGCCGAUUUGUAAUCAGAGAAACCAUACUUCUUCAGCAUAACUACAAUAUUUUUUGCUUGGCUAAAAAAUACCAUAUGUUAGUUGUUUGACCUGUAAACCCAAAAAAAGUUAGUUUACCUAUCAUGCUGAUCUCAAAUUUCUUGUCCAUGACCUCCGCGGAUUUUGAACUUAGCUUAUUAUCAGUGGAUCCGAAGAUGAUAUCGUCCACAUACACUUGAGCAAGAAGAAUAUGAGAUCAUGAGUUUUGUGUGAACAGAGUGUUAUAGAUCGUUCAUUGUUUGUAUCCACUUGAGAGAAGAUAGCUUUCCAACAUAUCAUACCAUUCCCUAGAAGCCUGAAUUAAGCCAUAAACAACUUUAUGAAGACAAUACACAUGAUAUGGAAAAAAUUCAUUUUCAAACCCUGGAGGUUGUUUUAGAAAGACUUCUUCUUGAAGAUCACAAAGUAAAAAGGCAGUCUUGACGUCCAUUUCUUCGACUUUGAAGUUUUUAAAAGAGGAAAAAGAUAGAACUAGAUGAAUUGCUUCAAGUGUUGCAACUGGAGAAAAUGUCUCACCAUAGUAUAACCCUUCAUGCUGACAGAACCCUUAAGCUACAAGCCUAGCUUUUCUUUCUUAUGACGAUUCCAUCUUCAUCUAUUUUGUUCCUGAAAACCCAACGAGUGCCAAUGAUAGUCUUUCCUUGAGGUUUGGGAACAAGAGUGGACACAGGAUGACGUUCAAAUUUAUCUAGCUCAUCAUGCAUGACCUUAAUCCAGUCAGCUUCUUUCAAGGCAUUAAUAAUAUUCUUUGGUUCGAUCAUUGAGACGAAGUUUACAAACAUGCAGAAGUUCUUGCUGACUCGGCUGUGACUAUGAAUCCAAAAUUUUACAUCUUCAAUGAUUUGAGAUUCAAGAUGAUCUCGAAGGAUUCUUGUAUUAGAAAUUUCAUUUGUAUUGCUAUGGGCAAAGACUUCCCGAGUAGAUGAUUUGGCUUCUUUAUGGGCAAAGACUUCCCGAGUUGAUGAUUUGGCUUCUUUAAGGACAACAGGCUGAUCUUUAAGGACAACAGGGUCUGAAGGACUAUAAGUAAGUUCAUUCAGAAUUGACAAGGGGUGAUCACCUCGAUCAUCAAUGAAUGAUUCCUCAUCAAAGGUGACAUGGAUUGUUUCUUCAACAGUUUUCCUUCAAAGAUUAAAUACUCUUAUAGCCUUGGAUACGUUGGAGUAUCCUAGGAACACUCCUUCAUCAGCUUUAGCCUCAAACUUCUAAUGUUGAUCUAUAUGAUUCAAGAUUUAACAAAUAAGUCCAAACACAUGAAAAAUAAGAGAUGUAUGGUUUCCUUCCUUUUAGUAGCUCAUAAGCAGUUUUCCCAUGACGUUUAAUAAUAACAAACCGAUUUUGGGUAUAACAUGUUGUAUUGAAGGCUUCAGCCCAAAAUGACAAUGAAAGACCAUCUUCAACAACAAAAGUUCUUCCAGAUUCAAUGAGAGAUUUGGUUCUUCUUUCUGCAAUACCAUUUCGUUGGGGAGUUCUAACUGCCGAAAACUUCUAUGAGAUUCCUAAGACUGAGAAAAAAUAUUCCAGAGAGGAGUUUUUGAAUUCAGUUCCACGAUCACAACGUAAUUGACUUACUUUGAGAUCAUAGAGGACUACCCAUUGUUUAAGAGAAAUGAUUUCAUCAGUGGCAUGACUCUUCUUUCUUAAAAAGACUACCCAUACAAACCUUGAAAAUUGAACCACAAUGACAAGUGUAUAUUUCUUCCAGCUCUUGAAUUAAUCAGAACUGGUCCAAAAAGGUCUAUAUGAAGGAGAUGAAUUGGUUUGAUGAUUGAAGAAAAGGACUUUGGCAUGAACAAAGACUUUGUUUUCUUCUUUCUUUCACACAUUGUGCACAGUUUGUCCUUGAUAAAUGGCAUCUUAGGAAUUCCUCUCUCAAGGUGAUUCUUUGCAAUCCUUGAGAUGUUCUUGAAGUUUAGAUGUGAUAGCCUUUUGUGACACAACCAAUUUAGUUGAGAUUGAGUAUGAGAGAAGAACAAACGAAGAAGAGAGUUGUCAGCAGAAAACAUAUCCAGAACAUAGAUUUCAUUUUAUCGAUAUGCAGUAACAACAGUUUUUCUCUUUUGAUCAACAACUUUUUCUUUUAUCUUGUUAAAGAGAACUUCAUAUCCAAAAUCACACAGUUGACAAUAAUAAUGAGAUUAUGCUGAAGACCUUUCACAUAAGAGAAAUUCUUGAAAACAACGAAAUUAUACUUGAUGGAUCCAUAUUCCUUUGUUGCUCCCUUGCCAUUAUCUCCAUAUGUAAUUGUCAGACCAAUCUACUUAAUUAAAUCCUCCAGGAUAGACGUGAAUCAAGUCAUAUGUCAUGAGCAGCCGUUGUCUAAAUACCAAAAAUGAUCUUUACCUUGAAAAUAAGGUGUAAAGUAAGUCCAAAAAAAAAUAUACACUAACCAUUUGUAAAGGAGCACAAAGAAAAGAUGUUAUAACAAUCAUCAGGGAGACAGUUCAAUGAGCUUCCCUUUUUUUAUCCACUUAUCAUUUCGAGUCAUGAUAUUAUCAGCUUGAACGGUGUUCUUUUCGAAAGUGCACUCGCUGACUUUGUGAGAGGCAUCACCACGUCAAUAACAAACUUUAAUUCCAAGAUUCUUUCCUUUAAUAUUAGAUUUUCAUUUCUUUUCAUCUACUGAAUCUGAAGAACUUUGAUUAUUUGACUUAAGAGUUCUUGAUUAAGUUCUAGAACAAGGAAUGUUAUCAAUGGCAUUAUCAUAUACUACCUUGUCAUGAGACUCAUGAUCGUUUGAAGAGUUAUUGGGAGUAGAAGGCUUUGAUUGAUCUUCAGGUUUAGAAUUGCUAACUGAGCACUAAGGAAACAUGCUAAGAAUUUUGUUAACAAAAUAAGCUUCACGAUUACAUAUAGGAAACUUUAGCAAAAUCUUAGUGGAGGGAAGAACAUACUCACGAUCAGAAGGUUGGAGAUAAGGAUCAAGAUCAGAUAACUUAGAAACACAUUAGUAAUGCCAUUAUAAACCAUAGAGUAGUGAGUAUUCGUUAAGGUUUGAUUUACAAAAUAAGAAUUCAAAAAUCUACUCUUAGAGUUUUCAUUUAAGUAGUCAUCUUUAUAAAAGGUUUGUUUAGUUUCAACUUUGAUUAAAGAAACAACACCUUCUAUAUUACCUCCAAGAAUUUUCUUACACUAAUCUGGAAUCUGAGCAUUAAUGAUUCUUGUAACAUUAAAGUGAGACGCUGACCAAUAAUUCAAAAUAAUUUGAGUGCAAUUAGCAUGAUCAACAAGUUUUUAUUUUUCAGUGUGAAGAAAAUUUUUGGCUAGCGAGAUACAAGUGUUAUCCUUUUUUAAAACAAAAGGAGAUUUUUCUAGAGAGGAGAGUUCUUCUAUCAGAAUCUUCAGAUCAAGACUAAGAAAAUAUUUUUCCUUAUUUGAGAUGAAUAAAUUGAAAUGUAAGAGAUCGAUCAUGUCAUAUUUUUUGAUAUUAUCAAUAGAGGAAAGAUUAACAUGAGUUUUUCACCUGAUACGCUGAAGUAUCGUCAGAUUCUGACUUGGGGUCUUUAGAAGUGUGAGGAGAAUUAGCUUUAAGGAUCCCAACGUUGUCAUGUGAAGUGUCAGCGUGAGAUUCACCAAUCUAAGCCAUGGGACACUUAACUUCAUCGACUGAAGAGUUUUCAUUUGCAAAAGAAGAUGAAAUAGUAAAUCAUCAUCUCUUGAGUAGUUGUGCAGCUUUGUACCAAACAAUAGACAAAAAAGGGAUUGAAUUUCUAAUAACAAUUCUACCCUUUACAUCGAGAUUCAACAUCCUUUUCUCUUCAUUGUUAUAACCAUGAAAAGAUUUCCCUUUCAGCUUACAGCCAGAUGAACCAUCAUUGGAUGAUUGAUGCAUAUCAGCUAUACGACCUUUGUUAACAACGCCAAGCAUAUCGAAAUCCAUGAAAUCUAGAACUUCAAUGGCCUUUGAUUUCAAAUCAGAGAAGUUUUGUUUGUCAAACGGAGGGAUCUUCUUACAUACAGUUGACUUUGGAAUGAAAGAAGUCGACAUGAUUAUUUAAGUUUAUCACAAACCUGCUUUGAUACCAAUUGAAGGUUUGCAUUGAUGGGAUACACUUCAAGUUUGAAUAAAAAAAAAAGUAAAACUAAUAUAAUCAAAAUAAUAAAACAAAUUAAAUAACAUAGAAGUUCUCCAAAUUGUUCUUUCACCAAGAAAGAGUUUUGUCUACACCAAGAAGAUGGGUUUGUCACAAACAUGGUUGAGACAAUGCCACGAUCACAACAAUAGGGUUUUCCCAAAUGUUUUCUAUAUACUAAUCUAUACAUGUAUAUCCCUUGAUAGAAUGGAUUGCGUCUAAUCUAUUGUCACACCCUCCGCCGAGGUGGAACAUGUCGGGUUAUGUGACUAAGUUCAUGGAUCAUAGAUAAACUGAAUAUAUAGCACAAGUACAACGAUAAACAAAAUAACAUUCAAAUUUCAUCAUAAAAUUUGAAUACAACUUUCUUACUAGUUAAUAUAGUAGUUGCCUUAAGCAGGUAGGCAAACAUAAUAAAAAUUAGUAAACUAAAUCAUUUGAGAUUCCUGAAUAUCCAUUAGCCGAAUUCGCUUGAUCUCUAAGAAUACAUGUAUAUUGAAAGUCAACACGAGGUUGGUGAGAGUCACAGGUUUUCUGCUAGCCGCCAUAAUAAUACUUUUAAUAAAUCCAAAAGUAUUUUCUAUGCAUGAAUAAAAAUAGGUAAAAUAGCAUUUGCAAUGGAACUUUAAAAGUUAUAAUGCAUCUUAAAAUCCAGAUCUUAAAAACUAUGUUGGUAAUGAAUCUUUGAAAGCCAAAACGUUAUGUUCCAUAAGUAAAUCUAUACUUAGACCAUGUUUAUAGUAAACCAUUCAAUAUCCUUGAAAGUCAAAAUGUACUUGUUGUAUUAGUAAAUCCAUACUUUAAAAUGUACUUGUAAUAAUCCUUUAAAAGUCAAAAUGUACGCGUUGUAUAAGUAAAUCCAUACUUUAAAAUGUACAUAUAAUAACUUCUUGAAAGUCAAAAUACAUGCUUUGUAUAAGUAAUUUCCAUACUUAAAAAUGUACUUGUAAUAACGUCUUGAAAGCCAAAAUGAAUGUGUUGUAUAAGUAAUUUCCAUACUUAAAAAUGUACUUGUAGUGACUUCUUGAAAGUGAAAAUGAAUGCUUUGUAUAAGUAAUUUCCAUACUUAAAAAUGUACUUGUAAUAACUUAAUGAAAGUCAAAAUGAAUGUUUUGUAUAAGUAAUUUCCAUACUUAAAAAUGUACUUGUAAUGACUUCUGGAAAGCUAAAAUGAAUGCUUUGUAUAAGUAAUUUCCAUACUUAAAAAUGUACCUGAAGGCAACCAAACCUACGAUGGUAGUAAGAGAGAGAGAGAGAGAGAGAGAGAGAGAUUCAUGUUAAUGUUUUUAAUGAGUUCUAUAAUCAAGCUAUGGAUGAAAAGUAUCCCUACCUACGAUGCUUCAUUGGGCGUCGUAGUAAUGAUCGUAGACACAUAUCACCAGCUACGAUUGAUCAGUCGAUGGUUGUAGCUAGCAACUGCAGGUUGGGUUGUCGACCCCCUAUAGAUCUAUACAUAUGUACCUCUCUCCGAAGAUUAACGAUUAUAGCGGUGUGGGGCAGGCUAUGUAAUUAAACUUAGCUAAUAAAUAGUAGCGUCUCACUAAAAAAUCAUUAACGAAAGGUUGUGAAUAAGUCUCAGCCCUAACUUAAUUUAGAUUAAGUGCCAGGCAUAAUGAAUUUCGUAGUAUAGCUUUUAUAAAAGCCGAGUAUGGUUGGCGUGUUUGUAAAAGUAUAAAUUACUCGCUUUUAUAGAGAAAUAUAGUUUCAACAUAACGAUAUUGUAUAAGCUUGUAAAGCCCCGUGCAUAAAAGUAUUCAAAGUUAGUAGUCUUUGAAACUUUGAAAUACUUUAAACUAGUAUGUAUGUAAAGCCUUACGCAUAAAAGUAUUCAUAUAAUGAAUUUCAUAGAAUAAUGUUCACAAAAGUCGAGUAUGGUUAACGUAUUUAUAAAAGUAUAAAUUACUCACUUUUAAAGAAAAAUGUAUUUCAAUGUAAUGAUCUUUUAUAUGUGUGUAAAGUCUUAUGCAUAAAAGUAUUCAUGGGUAGUAGUCUUUGAAACUAUGAAAUACUUUAAACUUGUAGCAUGCAUAUCAUAGAAUACUUAUGUAUUUGUAUCAUAAAUACUAUAUAGCACAUGUAUUCUCCCCCAAAACGAAUAAAUAUAAAAGAAGGGAUGUAACUCUCACCUCGAUAUGCAGUUAAGGAGUUGUUUUCAAGGGUUGGAUGCGAGAACCGGGAUGUGGUGUUGCGAAUUUUGAACAUCUGAUAUUUUCUUAGUCUUGAUGAUUGAAGAGACUAUAUAAAUAUCUAAUGAUGGUGGGAGACAUCCACAGGGGCCAAAAUUCUGAGAUGUGGAAGUUCCAAGGUGAAAAAGUGUCGAGAUUUGUUGAAACUUCGAGACUAAAAAAAUCCGAAACAGUAAAAGUUCCGAUAUGGGCAUAAAAUAUGAGGUUAGAAGGUCUAAGAUGAGAAAACUCCGAACCUGAUGGAAAUUCCGAAGUCAAAAAUGCCGAAACUAAGAAAAGGUGUGAAAUGUCAAAAAUCCGAAGUGGAGCUCCGAAACGGAGGGUGGUCUGAAGUCAGAAGGAGGGUCCGAAGUGGCUGACUUCUGAAGCGAGUAGGUUCCAAGGUGAGCAGCUUCUGAGGCAAGCAUGCUUCUAAGAUGAGUAUGGUUUGAAGUGCCAAAUGAUUCGAUAUAGAAGAAGCUCCGAGACUGCUGAGUUCGAGACUCAGAGGAGUCUGAGACAACAGUCACUCCAAGACUACUGUGUCUGAAAUGAGGGGGUAUAAAGUCAAAAUGUCUGGAAUGGCUAAAACUCUGAAAUUGGCUUGUUGUUUUCAGUUUCUUCCCCCAUUUUGAGUUAGUUUCAACCAAAUGAAGGGUUGGUAUGAUAUAGGUGUUUGAGGAAGAUGUUCUAAGUGCGGGGAGGAGUGAUUUAGGAUAGUGAAAUCAUCUUGUGUGGUUGUUACCAAGAGAGAUUCAGGAGAGAUUUAUAAGAAACUUGGAAGACAUUUGAGAGAGAUAUGCAAGACUUGGGAUUUUUAGAGAGUGGGCUCUGGGAGAAGAAAAAGAAGUGAGAGAUUUUAGAGAGCAAAAGAGAGAGCUGAAAACUUGAGGAGGUGAUCUCUAUUUAUAGUAGGGUGGAGUACUCACUUGGCCAAGGAGGCCAUACUCCUCCAAUCCCAUCAGAUACAAUCUUUUUUACUUUUGGACGGAGUGCAAGUAAAAGAAAAAGAGGAGUGGGGGAAAAGGUUACGUGGAAAAUCUCAGGGAAAUGGCUGAAGGUUUAUCCUUACAAAUCUAAUUGGUCCCACACAAAAAUUUGCAUCCUCUUUAAUGGCUUUAAAUGUACACAUAAUCGGGUACGUCGGGAUCCGGAUGUCAAGAAUAUUUUUCGAAUAUACUGAUGGAUUAGAUUUAAUUCAAGGAUUUCAAAAACCUAAAAGGAUUAAUUUGUGAGGUUAUGGAAAUCCGGGAAAUCGCGUUUGAAUUUUUGCAUCCUAACAGCUCACGGUGUCUGUGUUCGCUAUUUUUGUAAAUAUUUUUACUAAAAAUAUUUCGAGUAUGAAAUUAAAUAAUCGACUAUAGUCUAAUUCCAAAAACGCUCUCAUAAAUCCUGUCAGCAAUGCGUAAGUACCUCAACGGUGUGAAACAGUUUACUUAAAACAGGUAAAACCAUCGUUAUGUCGGUUUGUUUCCUUAAAACUAUCAUAUCUUUUGCAUACGAACUCCGUUUUAGACGUUCUUUAUAUAUUCAGAAAUAGGGGAACACGUAAUAUGAGUCUAAAAUAAUUUCUUCGCUCAAAACCGCUUAUUACAUUUUUUUUAGUUUUUAGCUGUCCUAAUUAGGGUUGCAAUUUAUGCUGUUUGAUUAGUUCGUUAGUUACAUAUUCGUAAGUAAGUUUUCAUUGGAUAUCUUAUAAUAGUUGAAAUGAACCAAUUUAUUUUAUAAAGGAUGUACUAAAACUCAAUGAGUCAAAUUACAACUAGAUUAGUUGUUAUAAAAUUUUAGCCCUCAAUUUCCGGGAUGUGACAUCUAUACUAAGAAUAGAUCAUAUCACAAAGAUACUGGAUAUGUGAUGUAUUCUAUACUGAUAUAUAUCAUUACCUGAUAUAAAAAUGAAUACAAUUGGAUAACUGAACUGUAAGAUGAUGUUGAUAGCUUUGAUAUGCUGACACUCUCAAUGUGUAGAUGUUGAUGCAGACAGGUCAACGUGUCCGGUGUUUAACUAAUUAGAUCAUAAGGAGUGACCUUACAGAAAGAAGAUAGCUAAGUGUUCAUAGCCGAAAAAGCAGUGGUUCUUGAAAAUGAGUUUAUCUUGUAUAAAUCAAAUGGGAGCCUCAAUUAUCUCAAAGAAAGUUGAGAAGCAUGACCUUUAGUUGAGAAUGAUAAUAAACAAAGUAUUUUUGAACAUGAAAUUAUCGUUAAGAUGCCGGAAAACAUAAACACUGUACGAUCCUCAAGUAGACCUCACCAGGAACCUGACAAUUUUGGAGCAAUGUGAACCCAUCAAUUUCAAGGCAGUUAUUGCAGAUCCUGAAUCUAACAAAUGGCUUAAAUCGAAGAUAGCUAAAAUUCAGUCCAUGUGAAACAAUUAAGUAUGGGAGUUGGUUGACUUACCUCCUAAUAGGAGGGCUAUUAGAAGCAAGUGGAUCUUCAAGAAGAAAAUCGACAUGGAUAGGACAAACAUUCAAGACACGAAUUGUAUCGAAAGGGUACACUGAAAUUUAUGGUGUUGACUAUGAAGAUACGUUCUCUCCAGUUGCUAAGAUUAAAUUUGUUUCAAUUAUCAUGGCCCUAGCCGCAUAUAAAGACUAUGAGAUAUGGAAAAUUUGACUGCUUUCCUUAAUGGAUAUCUUGAGGAAGAUGUCUACAUGGAACAUCCUAAAGGUUUUUCCAACCAAGGAAAUCUAAAGAAGGUGUGGAAACUGAAGAUUUUAUGUAACGCCCUGAUUUUCGGGUGUUGGUUUAUGUGAGAAUUUUAUUGAUUUCAAGGUCUACUCUACGAGUUGGCUGCCCUACUCGUCGAGUAGCAGCGGGUUGGUCUACGUGUUUUAGUGAUCUACUCAUCGAUUCCAAGAAGGGACUCGACGAGUAGGGACUGGCAGAUGAAACCCUAAGUUGCGGGAUUUUGCACCCUAUUUAAAGGAUCAUUGGCCCUCCCCAGCCUCCCCUUUACAACUUCUUGGCACCUUUAAACCCUAAUUUGAGUGUGUGUGUGUGUGUGUGUUUCUUUGGUGUGAUGGAGAUUUGAAGAGAGAUCUUGGUGAGGAAUACAUGGGGGAAACAAGUAAUUAAAGCUAGGAAUUUGUGGGAAGCAAGGAUAUACAUCAGUUGUGUCACACCCCAAAACCAAGAAUGGCGGAAAUGUUUUGUGGCGGAGGACGUCAUGUACAGUAUCACAACAAUGAAAAGUAGUAAACAAGCAAUAACAUCAUCCAUUGCAUUAAUAAUAUAAUUUUAAUACAAGUGUGUUCUGACAAAUUAUGAUAGACACUAAAGUAUAAUAAAAAUGAAAGAUGAGUCUUGAACGAGCUCCAUCCUCUCUAAACCUUGCAUCGGUACCUGUCUACUGUCGACCUAAGGAUACAAGUUAUUUUGAAAGAGAGUAUCAGCUUUAAAGCAGGUGAGAUCAUAAGUAUUUUAGUGUCUUAAUUUGUAUGUAAGUAUUUGUAUGUAUAUGAAUUGUAAGUAUUGACAAUGUAUAUGGAUUGUAAGUAUUGAAAAUGUAUAUGAAUUGUAAGUGUUGAAAAUGGUUGUAGAACAAAUGUAAACGUUUGAAAAACCCUAGAAAUCCCUAUGAUUCCUACUACUAUAAAAGGGGGUCUUCUACCAUGAACUAACUGUUUUGAAUGUAGCCUUCUACCAAGACCUAAUUGCUCUGAAUGUAGCCUUCUACCAAGACCUAACUGCUCUAAAUGUAGCCUUCUACCAAGACCUAACUGCUCUGAAUGUAGCCUUCUACCAAGACCUAACUGCUCUGAAGGUAGCCUUCUACCAAGACACGACAGUUCUGAAUGUAGCCUUAGUAUUACCCUUUAGUACCAGGGUAACUAACAAUGUUACCUGAAGACAUCCGUAGAACCCUUCAAUUGGUCAACGAAAGAUUGGAAACACUAAAAAUCCCAACAUAAGUCCGUUUUUGACUAGGAUUUCCUUUUUGGGCCUACUGGACCAAUAAUUUUCCAAUUUGACUAUUUUGGGCUUAGAACCCUUAAAUGGGCCCUAACUGGACCCACUUUCAUGAAACCUAACAUUUUGAGCCAUAAUGGAUCCAAAAUGAAUUGAAUUAUCCUUAACGGGCCUUGUUGGGCCAUAACAAAACAAAUUAACCCUAAUGGACCAUAAAACCCAUUCAUUUAUACUAAUUGGUCCGUGAACCAUCCUAUGGGCUGAAUGGGCCAAAAACUUACUUAAUGGGCUUUAUGUUUUCGAGCAAGACCAAGAACGAAGCCAACUAGCUCACUUCUUUCUUCUUUGGCUCAAAUAUCGGCCCAUGUGUAAAAAAAGGAAAAUAAUGGACAGUUAAACAUAAACAUGCCACCUUAAUACUGUUUAAUGGUUAAUUAAGAAAUUUUUCAACAUGCAACAAGGCAAGGAUCUCAUGUCUCCAUGCACAUCACCUCACCUUCUCUCUUCUUCCCUCUUCUUUUUCUUCUCAUCCGAACACACACACCCUCGCCACCUUCAACUUUCAUUUCAAACUCUCUCAAACCUUUCAAGAACAUCUUCUUACCUCCCUCAAAAUCUCGAAAAUUAGUGUGGCUCCAAGAAGAUCUUUCACUUAUAUCACUAUUAUUGGUAAGUUAUUGUUAUACAUAAGCCUUGGUUUCCAUUCUUAAGCUAAGAACAACUCCUUAUAUGACUUCAUUUGGUGAUCAUACUUCCUAGAAAACCUCUAAACCUGAAAGUUCUCUUCAAGGAAGUAUCUAAGGCAAAAAAAACCACACCAUCUUCUUCCAUUCUUCUCAUCGAAACCGAUCCAUCACCCAAGGUGAGUUCAUACCCCCUGGUUUUCUGUUUUUUUUUUGGGGAGGNNNNNNNNNNNNNNNNNUGUGUGUUGUGUGGGGGGGGGGGGGGGGGGGGGGAGAAUACAAGUCUUAUGUGUUGAUCUAUGUGUGUUUGCAUGUUAUAUGUGAUUUCUUUGGUUAUUGUUGUGAAAAUUUUUAUAAUACUUGUUAUAUAUCGAAAUCUAUAGCAUAAAUGUAUAAGAUUCAUAAACAAAAACAUAUUAAACAACAUACUUCAAUGAUAUAAGUGUUUUCUUGUGUGAGAAGUUAAGAACAACGCAAAAGAUUAUACAAGUAACAAUUUUUGCAAAUAUAACAAAGUAUUGGGAUAAAAAUGACAUUUUCGGAUUCAUAAGGAUAAAAAUGGUAGUUACGUUCAUAAAAACUGGGAUUUUAUGAAAAUAAUACUUUUAAGGGGUCAAAAAUAUAAAUUUUUGCUUAUUGGGCUUACAAUUGAGCCUCACGGGUUUUUGAGCCCAAAUUACGAAAAAAUGUGGUUUUGGAGUUGAAAUUGUAAAUUCAUCAAAGUAUGAGUCUAAAAACAUAAACAAACCAAUUCAGGGGCUGAAAAUGUCCUUUAAUCCUAAAUUGAGUUAGAUAUGUAAUGUUUUUGGAUUUUGGAGCAAAAUUGUAAAACUUACGAAAUUUGGGGCAAAAAUGUAAUCUUUUUACAUAUAAGGACUGGAAAUGGAAAGUACAAUAUUUUUGGGCUGAAAUUAUGAUUUAAAUUAUGUUUGGGCCAAAAAUGUCAAGAAAAAUGGUUUAAGGACCAAAAAUGUUAAUUUUCCAUCAAAAAGGACUAAAAAUGUCAUUUUAUUAAGGAAGGGCUAAAAAUGUAACUUUUGUGAAAAGGGGCUGAAAUGGUCAAAUAAAUAUUUUCGGGUCCAACGUGCUAAUUGUCACACCCUAAAACCGGAAUGACGGAAACGUUCAAGGGUGGAGGACGUCAUGUACAAUAUCACAACAAUGCAUAGUAGUAAACAAGCAACAACAUCAUCCAUUGCAUUAAUAAUAUAAUUUAAUACAAGUGUCUUCUGUGAAGUUUAAUAGACACCAAAAUGUAAAUCAAAAUAGGAGAUGAGCUUUGAAUGUGCUUCAUCUUCUCAAAACCCUGGCUGGUAAGUUCAUAAGUAUUUUAGUGUCAAUGUUUGUAUGAAAGUAUUUGUAUGUACUUGAUGUAUAAGUUUGUAAAUGUUUGUAUCUCCUAGAAAUUCCUAUAUUUUCUACUAAACGUAGCCUUCUACCAAGGCAUCAAUUGAAAUGUAUGUUUGUUUCUUGUAAAAGUGUGUAUUUUCCCAAGUAUGACUAUCAUUAAAAAAAAUAUAGUUUUUACAUUACCGUUCAUUGUGUGAAAAUCACAAAUUGAAUGCAAUGGGGAAAUAUUAAAGUACUGUAGUGUUGUAUUAAGUAACUACUGCUGUACUAAUUACCUUAAACCUAUUUGUUACUUUAAGUAACAUGUGAUAUGUCUGUACCAUACUACCGACUAUAAACAUGAAGAUGAAAGACGUCCGAAGAAAUGACAUUUGGAACCCGUUUUCACACCCCAAAACCAAGAACGGCAGAAACGUUCCGGGGUGGAGGACGUCAUGUGAAGUAUCACAACAGUGUAAAGCAGUAAACAACCAACAACAUCAUCCAUUGCAUUAAAAGUAAAGUUUUAAUACAUGUAUGUUCUUUCAUUAUGUACAACAAUAACAUGAAUAAUCCAAAUAAGAUGAGUCUUAACUGUGCUCCGUCUUCUCAAAACCUGGCCAUCGUUCCUGACUAGCUGGUGACCUGAGAAUACAAGUUAUUUUGAAAGCGAGUAUCAGCCUAAGGCUGGUGAAUUCAUAAGUAUUUAAGUGUUAUUGUCUUGUUUUGGAAAACCGUUAUGAAUGCCUUCUAAAUCUUUAAAUGAAACAUUUGAUAUAAAUUUGAAAACCCUAGAAAAUCCCUUAUUUCCUACUAGUAUGAAAUGUAGUCUUCUACCAAGACCCGAAUGUUUUGUUAUGAAAAUGAUGGUUUUUCCUUCUUUUUGACUAUUACAAACAGUACUUAGUCUAACUCAUCGUUUAUGUGAAUGUAUCACAAAAUAAAGUAAAAUAGGAAAAAGAAUAUGAUAUAAGUGUUAUCCUUGGGAAAAUACACACUUUUACAGUAUCCAUGUAAGUGUAUACAGGAAAAUGUAUCUAUGUAAUGUUACUCAUGUAUGGUAUUCAUGUAAGCGCAUUCAGGUAAAUGUAUCUAUGUAAACGUACUCAUGUUCAUGUAAGCAUAGGUAAAUGUACUCAUGUAUCAGGUAGUGUACUGGUAUAGAAUCAUGAAUGAACUGACUCUUGUGUGAUUCCUUGUAAUAGUAAUAAGGUUUUGUAUCUUCUAACUAUCCCUAUGAUAAUUAACUGAAUGGUAAUUGGUUGUUCAAGUAAGUUUAUACACCCUUGCUAUACAAGGGUGAGGGAAACUAAAUGAAGGAUGAAAACUAUAAUAUCAAUGCAUAUAAAAGAACAUAAGUUAUUAGAUAUAGUUUUGUUCAAGAGGGUAAAAAUGGUUUUGUAAAACAUCUAUGAGUUUUGAACAAUAAUUAACAAUGACUUGAUGUCAUUUUAAUAAAUAUUUCAAACAUAAAAAUUUUUCUAUCAAGGUAUUUUUAAGAUAUGAAACCAUUUCAUGCAUCACAUUUUGUAGUAUGUGAAAUCUGCUAAAUGAAAACGCAGUUAUAAAAUACAUAUGAAUGAUUUAAUAACAUGUUGUUUUCUACUUGUAUCCCCCCUCCCCCCUNNNNNNNNNNNNNAAAAAAGUGUGUGUGUGUGUGUGUGUGUGUAUAUAUAUAUAUAUAUAUAUAUAUAUAUAUAUAUAAGGACACAUAUUGACAUGACUAUAGUGUUUAUAACAUCUAUAUGAAAGGAAACACUUUCUGGGACUAGGUAACAUCUUGACCAAGUGCUGGAAUCACAUGUGAUUCAACAUAGGAAGGUAUAAAGGCACUCACAUGAGUUUACUACCAUGAGUUCAUGGCCCAAGGGAGUUUACGGCCAUAAACUCAUGGCUACUCAUGUGGGAAUGAAAUUUUGAAGGAUAGGGAAUGGUAUUGGGACAUUAGCUCUAACCUAGGAUGAAGAAAACCCACUUUCUUUGAUGUUCUAAGGAUUUCACGACCCAAAUGAGUUUACUACCAUAAACUCAUGGCCAUUUAUGUUUAUGAGGGUCCUAAAGGUCAUAAGGAAGCAUUCUAAUUUCAAGCCUAAGCCUUUGGAACUGUUUGUGGCAUCAAAACACCCCUAACUUGAGUUUACGGCCCAUGGACCAUUUGGUCAUGUGUUUGCGGCCGUAAACACUCAUGGGUGUUGAUAUUUUCAAUGUUUUGGGUCCUAAACACAUCAAGGUAAAGUUCUAUGUUUGUCUCUUGGCUUAAUGAAGGUAUUUAGGGCAUUUUGGCACCCUAAUAUGGAGUUCACGGCCCAAGAACAUCCUUGGCCGUGAACUCACUUUCAACCCUUGAUUCUCAAUGUUUUGGAUGUCUAAACAAGCCAUGGGUAGUCUCUAGGUUUAGUUUUAAAGUUUGGAGGGACAUUGGGCACACUUUUGGCCCUAAAUUUAGUGUUCACGGUCCAAGAAGAUCUUUUCUCUAGUUGGAAAUGUAACUAAUGAAUGGCUUUUCUCUAGUUGGAAAUGUAACUAAUGAAUGAAUAUGGCUCCGAUUUCUAUUUAUAGUCCUGAGAUUUUUGGCAAAAAAUAUUUUAUUCCCGGAAUGAACUCUAAUAUCGUAGAGUAUUGGAAUAACAGUGUUGCACAAAACCCUAGUGCAUCCACUCUCCUGAUAUAUCCUUAAGUGUUAAACCUGAAAUACUCAAACUUAUACCCAAAGUCUGGAAUUUCUCUGUAACUUUCUAACUUCUAUUGGCUUGAUAUGGUUUGUUCAGAAUGGAAAUUUCGGGUUGUCACAUCAUCCCCCUGUUAAAGGGAAUUUCGUCCUGAAAUUAGAAUCUAUGAAAGGAAGUAGGUAGAAGUGAUCGAGUCGAUAGGUAAACUUCCUAAUCGAUUGGUUCUCGCGCUCCCAAGUGAAAUCGGGUUCUUGGUUGGUAUUCCAACGAACCUUCACUAACGCACGACGGUGUUGCUUCGUCCGCUUGACCACUCGGUCAAGGGUCACUACGGUUCUAAGACGAAGGCGAGGAUCUCGUUAAUCUCGAUCUCGUCGAGAGGGCUUACGAGAUUCCUAACGGAAAGGUAUGGUUUAAAAACCGAGACGCGAAGUGUAAAAUGUAUGUUAUUGAGUUCGCGGAGUAGAUCUAGUCGGUGAGUUGUAGGACCGAUUCUGGUAAGAAACUCGGAGGUCCUAACUAUAUUGGAUUUAGCUUUCCACGCUUCACGAAGCGUAUUAAGCCAUUCCCCGGGUGAGGUUUAUUAAAGAAUUUGUUCUCUCACUUGGGAUUCCAAAGGUUCUUUCACUCGCUUAACUUCCCAGUCAAGGGCCACCCCUUGUUGGGUCAAAGUCGAAAGGGUUUUUGUAAUUUGCGAGGAGUUAUGAAUGGAUUAUGAUAGUAGGUCUGUAAGACCUAGAAUUUGGCAGAUUUUCCAUCGGUGACAACAGUGCCGACAAUUUCCCAAUGUGUGACAACCCGAAAUUUCCAUUCUGUACAAACUAUAUCACUUCAAUAGAAGUUAUAGCAGGCACAGUUAACUUUCAGACUUUCUGCGUAAGUUUGAGUAAUUCAGGGUUUACACUUCAGGAAAUAUCAGGAGAGUGAGUGCACUAGGGUUUUGUGCAACACUAUUAUUCCAACACUCUAUUGUAUUAGAGAUCAUUUCAGGAAUAAAAAUAUUUCCUGCCAAAAAUAUUUCAGGACUAUAAAUAGAUUUCUGAACCAAAUUCAUUCAUUAUUCACAUUUCCAACUAGAGAAAAGCCAUUUUCUCUCUGACGGAUCUUCGGGUUUUUAUCCCAAAUUGUGAGUACCCUUUUCUAGGAGUGUUAGAAUGCUUAUUAUGUGCUUAUAACAUGAUUUAGAUGGCUAAAUCAUUAGAUCUAGGAGUUUACUCCCCAAGGUGUUCUUCGGCGGUAAACUCCCGAAACGAAGCCAAAACCGACCCUUGUGUUAUACCACUGCCUUAGACUAUUAUGUAUGUGUGUUAGGAACAAGAAAACAUCCAUAAAUCACCCAAGUUUGGGAGUUCACGGCCAAAGAGAUUAAUAGGCCGUAAACUCCCUUUUCACACUCAAAAUGGUGUUUUAAGGACUCUAAAACUUUAAGGCUUUUAUCUAGACUAGUUCCCCUUUAGUGUAAGGCCUUAAACACAUCAAAGAACACAUACAAAUGAGAGUUUACGGCCCAAGUGUACCUUAGGCCGUAAACUCCAUAGAAAUGGACAAAAGGGUGUUUUUAAGACACCUAAAACCCUAGACCUUUACAAGGAAUUGUUUCCACUUAAUUGAAGGACCAAAACUCAUCUAAAUCACUUAACAAAGUGAGUUUACGGCCAAGAGAAUGCUCUUGGGCCGUAAACAUGAAAGAAUGGCACCAAAUUGUGCCUAGGGUCCUCAUUUGCCUUAAACAAUUGUCUAGAACAUAUCCUUCAAAAGCAAGAGGCUUGAAAACAACAAAAACACCCAAUACUUAGACUUUACGGCCGUAAACUCUAAGGGGAGUGGCCUCAGGGCCGUAAACUCCUAAUUGGAGUAUUUCUAGACCUUAAAAUCUUCCAAGGAUUUAACCACCAAGUUAGAAUAAUUCUAGGAAUCAUUUGGGACUUCAAAACACACCAAACCCCCAAGGUUGGGAGUUUACGGCCGUAAACUCAAGAGUUUACAACCGUAAACUCCAUGUGUGAUGGUUUAUGGGGAGUAAACUCACAUGUAGGGUCCUUUGGAACCCUAAACACAAAUACCUUGUCCCACAAUAGCUUAGAUGCAAUCCUUAAGGCUUAAAACACUUAUGUAAAGUGUUUAUUAUGUCUAGGAUGUCUUAACAUUAUCAAUUAGUGAUUUGAGUCUAAUUGAGUGCAUAUAUGUGUGAUUAUAUGUUCAUUAGGAUCGUAGUGCGUGUACAAGUCCUCGCUUGACACCUAGCCAUCCUAUACCGUUCAGUUCAUCCCAAUCACCAAC
RNAcentral lists this long non-coding RNA (19453 nucleotides) under Lactuca sativa (garden lettuce). RNAcentral's name for it is "long non-coding RNA (LSAT_LNC005513)". Lineage: Eukaryota; Viridiplantae; Streptophyta; Magnoliopsida; Asterales; Asteraceae. The record is from RNAcentral.